GACGAACGCUGGCGGCGUGCUUAACACAUGCAAGUCGAGCGAUGAAAUCCCUUCGGGGAUGGAUUAGCGGCGGACGGGUGAGUAACACGUGGGUAACCUGCCUCAAAGAGGGGGAUAGCCUCCCGAAAGGGAGAUUAAUACCGCAUAACAUUAGUUUUUCGCAUGGAGAACUAAUUAAAGGAGUAAUCCGCUUUGAGAUGGACCCGCGGCGCAUUAGCUAGUUGGUGAGGUAACGGCUCACCAAGGCGACGAUGCGUAGCCGACCUGAGAGGGUGAUCGGCCACAGUGGAACUGAGACACGGGCCAGACUCCUACGGGAGGCGGCAGUGGGGAAUAUUGCACAAUGGGCGAAAGCCUGAUGCAGCAACGCCGCGUGAGUGAUGAAGGCCUUCGGGUUGUAAAGCUCUGUCUUUUGGGACGAUAAUGACGGUACCAAAGGAGGAAGCCACGGCUAACUACGUGCCAGCCGCCGCAGUAA
RNAcentral lists this ribosomal RNA (478 nucleotides) under uncultured bacterium. RNAcentral's name for it is "partial 16S ribosomal RNA". It matches the Rfam family "Bacterial small subunit ribosomal RNA", at positions 28 to 523 of the family's 1533-position model. The record is from RNAcentral.